This 27-nucleotide non-coding RNA is filed under the name Cricetulus griseus (Chinese hamster). The record is from RNAcentral. Lineage: Eukaryota; Metazoa; Chordata; Mammalia; Rodentia; Cricetidae.
GAAGUAUGAGGAAAAUGAUUGCUGAAC